This 83-nucleotide transfer RNA is filed under the name human gut metagenome. It matches the Rfam family "tRNA". Rfam says of the family: Transfer RNA (tRNA) molecules are approximately 80 nucleotides in length. Their secondary structure includes four short double-helical elements and three loops (D, anti-codon, and T loops). The record is from RNAcentral.
GAGGGAUGGCAGAGUGGUUGAAUGCACCGGUCUUGAAAACCGGCGUGCCGCAAGGCAUCGGGGGUUCGAAUCCCUCUCCCUCC